UACGUAGGGUGCAAGCGUUAUCCGGAAUUAUUGGGCGUAAAGAGCUCGUAGGCGGUUUGUCGCGUCUGCUGUGAAAACCGGAGGCUCAACCUCCGGCCUGCAGUGGGUACGGGCAAACUAGAGUGCGGUAGGGGAGAUUGGAAUUCCUGGUGUAGCGGUGGAAUGCGCAGAUAUCAGGAGGAACACCGGUGGCGAAGGCGGAUCUCUGGGCCAUAACUGACGCUGAGGAGCGAAAGCAUGGGGAGCGAACAGG
RNAcentral lists this ribosomal RNA (253 nucleotides) under uncultured bacterium. RNAcentral describes it as "partial 16S ribosomal RNA". It matches the Rfam family "Bacterial small subunit ribosomal RNA", at positions 524 to 776 of the family's 1533-position model. The record is from RNAcentral.